Sinocyclocheilus anshuiensis is the source of this 358-nucleotide long non-coding RNA. RefSeq lists it as uncharacterized. The transcript has 3 exons. The record is from RefSeq and is a predicted model, not a curated record. Lineage: Eukaryota; Metazoa; Chordata; Actinopteri; Cypriniformes; Cyprinidae.
UGUUGGGUGCGGUUGGGGCUAGGAUGCCAUCUCCCAUUCAAUGUGGAUCGAGAUCUGAACUAAACGCAACCCAAUUUUGGGUUUCUCUUCAAAGCCAGCUGGUCUGGCUUGAUUUUCUUUAGCCUUUUUUGACAUAUUAACAAUCUUUUUUCUUUUUUUACAAAGACUGGCCCACAGCAGGUGCUGGAGGGUUGAGCUUCCUGGAGAAGAAUGUUAUCGGACUGGUGCCAAACGAAGGACCUGAAAGCCUAAAAACCAAUUUGAUGGAGACACAAAAGCAGUGAGGAUUCAGAGGGAGAAGAUAGUGAAGUUGAAACAGGUUUUGAGCAAGUGAUUGGAACGAAUGCCAGAGUCUUUG